AUUGAACGCUGGCGGCAGGCCUAACACAUGCAAGUCGAACGGGAACAGGAAGCAGCUUGCUGCUUUGCUGACGAGUGGCGGACGGGUGAGUAAUGUCUGGGAAACUGCCCGAUGGAGGGGGAUAACUACUGGAAACGGUAGCUAAUACCGCAUAACGUCGCAAGACCAAAGAGGGGGACCUUAGGGCCUCUUGCCAUCGGAUGUGCCCAGAUGGGAUUAGCUAGUAGGUGGGGUAACGGCUCACCUAGGCGACGAUCCCUAGCUGGUCUGAGAGGAUGACCAGCCACACUGGAACUGAGACACGGUCCAGACUCCUACGGGAGGCAGCAGUGGGGAAUAUUGCACAAUGGGCGCAAGCCUGAUGCAGCCAUGCCGCGUGUAUGAAGAAGGCCUUCGGGUUGUAAAGUACUUUCAGCGGGGAGGAAGGGAGUAAAGUUAAUACCUUUGCUCAUUGACGUUACCCGCAGAAGAAGCACCGGCUAACUCCGUG
RNAcentral lists this ribosomal RNA (490 nucleotides) under uncultured bacterium. RNAcentral's name for it is "partial 16S ribosomal RNA". It matches the Rfam family "Bacterial small subunit ribosomal RNA", at positions 30 to 507 of the family's 1533-position model. The record is from RNAcentral.